Molecule: long non-coding RNA, 432 nt
Filed under: Sus scrofa (pig)
Lineage: Eukaryota; Metazoa; Chordata; Mammalia; Artiodactyla; Suidae
Description: lncRNA (ENSSSCG00045018441.1)
Source: RNAcentral
AUGUAUCUUUGUCAAUAUGCAUGCCACUAUGCAAGAAAUGUUUUUCCUACUGCUAAGUGCCUGAAACAAGAUUUUAAUGUAUUUUUUGAAAUCUUAAGUCUUGUCCACAUUUUGUCCUCUUGGAUAGUGAAAACCCUGCUGUCAAUCUGUAUUCACAGAGCUCAGAGUUCUACAAAGUCACCACUGAGCAGUACCAGAAAGCCGCUGAAGAGGUGGAAGCAAAGUUCAAGCGGUAUGAAUGCCAUCCCGUCUGUGCCGACCUGCAGGCCCAGAUUCUCCAGUGUUACCGCCAGAACACCCAGCAGACCCUCAGCUGCUCCGCUCUGGCCAGCGAGUACAUGCGCUGUGUCAAUCAGGCCAAACAGUUGUAUUAUUCCAUGCCGAAACCAACUUAAACAAAUUGGCCAGAAGCAUCAAAUUAUUUAUUACUAG